GGGCCGAGGCGCGGGCCGUGUGCCGCUGGGUGGCCCUGCGAGCCGCCGCUCUCCGCCUCUCUAGGCUCAGCUUCCAUCACCGCGUGGCGGAGCCCGUGUCCGGGCCAGUAUUUCUGCCUGUCACUUAUUAUCUGGUUGAGCUGGUGGCGGGAGUCCCGGCCCAUGUGUGUUACCAGAGGGAUGGUCUAGAGAAUGAAUCCAUCUGUCAGAGGCAUCCAAGAAGAAAGGCCUGGGCCAGGAUCACAUGGAAGACCCUGAAGACAGGAUCGGGUCUUGCCUGCCUGGAUUGAACAGAGACGCAGUGACCAGUCCCAUCUGCUCCCACCCUGCUGCCCUCUGAAUCGAGAGUUUGAGGCCAUGACCAGGGUAACGUUCAGCUGGUAGAGACAACACAACCCUGCUGGCUGUUUAAGCCAUGCUGGAGUGGUGCUCACAGGGUAACAAUUUUCAAGUGCUACGGAUGCAAUAGCUCAGCGACUGGCAGCGCAGCACGUACCUGCUGUCGUGGGAGGUGAGAGCCACCAGUGCCCGACAGCGGCUGCAAGGCAGUGGUGGCGCUCUGCAGCCAGCCGGCCCACCCCUCCAACAUCUGCAAGGGGGUGGGAGGCUGCCUCACCAAGCUACCUGCUACUCAUGGGGGCGAUGGGCAUCAGGGUGGCCUGCCUGGAGGUUCUGUAUCCUUGGAUUCAACCAACCAUGGAAUAAAAGUACUAACAAAAAGGAUGGUUAUGUCUGCACUGAACAUCCUUGUCAUUACCCCCUAAACAAUACAGCGUGACAACGA
This 784-nucleotide long non-coding RNA is filed under the name Homo sapiens (human). RNAcentral describes it as "novel transcript". Lineage: Eukaryota; Metazoa; Chordata; Mammalia; Primates; Hominidae. The record is from RNAcentral.